GAGGAUAUAGAGAUAAUAUACUUGUAUUUUCAAUAUAGUAAAUGUAUAGUUGUUUCUGGUGCAUAAAAGUUAUAAAGUUUUAUUGCUAGAAACAGUGUAAAAUCUUUUUUUUUGUUUUUUUCUAGAAACUGAGCUUCAGCUUUAUUUCCUGGUACAUAUUCCUCCACAUUUGUGUCUUCCUCAAAAUUCAGUAUGAGGACUGUGUUUCAUGCUGUAGUUAGGGUCUCUGGCCAUGCAGUGCCAACUCAACACAGUAAACGGGGAUACUUUUUUCGAAAGUUGACAGCACAGUGAGACCUCCAAGGAAGGAGAUGCCAAGUAGUGCUUCAAAGCUUCGGACCACAAUCAAACACAGCAUCCUUUUCAACAGAAGCAGAAGCUCAUCUGAAUAUGCUCAUGGAUGCUGACAUCAACAUUUAAUCAUCUCCUCACUCAUCCAGGAAUAGGGGGAGAUCAGUUACUACUGUACUUUAUUGUGUUCAACCAAAUCACCAUGUUACAAAAAUAGCAAGCUGCCAUAAUAAAAAAUAAGGCUCCUCUAUCCAGCACCAGAUAGCAUCAUUUUACUUUCAAGCCUAGAAAUUGCACACUUUUAUAUAAACCAAUCGAAGAUGAGGAUUGAGAGUUCAUCUUGGUGGAUUUUUCCUUUGAUGAAUAUGAAGUGUCCUUCCUUAUCUUUUUUGAUGACUUUUAAUUGAAAAUUGAUUUUAUUUGAUAUUAGAAUGGCUACUCCAGCUUGCUUCUUCUGACCAUUUGCUUGGAAAGUUGUUUUCCAGCCUUUCACUCUGAGGUAGUGUCUGUCUUUGUCUCUGAGCUGUGUUUCCUGUAGGCAGCAGAAUGCAGGGUCCUCAUUGCGUAUCCAGUUUGUUAAUCUAUGUCUUUUUAUUGGGGAGUUGAGGCCAUUGAUGUUGAGAGAUAUUAAGGAAUAGUGAUUAUUGCUUCCUGUUGUAUUCAUAUUUGGAUGUGAGGUUAUGUUUGUGUGCUUUCAUUCUCUUUGUUUUGUUGCCAAGACGAUUAGUUUCUUGCUUCUUCUAGGGUAUAGCUUGCCUCCUUAUGUUGGGCUUUACCCUUUAUUAUCCUUUGUAGUGCUGGAUUUGUAGAAAGAUAUUGUGUAAAUUUAGUUUUGUCAUGGAAUAUCUUGGUUUCUCCAUCUAUGUUAAUUGAGAGUUUUGCAGGAUACAGUAACCU
Molecule: non-coding RNA, 1188 nt
Organism: Rattus norvegicus (Norway rat)
Lineage: Eukaryota; Metazoa; Chordata; Mammalia; Rodentia; Muridae
Source: RefSeq, a predicted model, not a curated record